UGGGGGGCAACUCCGAGGGCCGAGCGGCGGACGGGUGAGUAACACGUGGGGAACCUGCCUGAGGGCCUGGGAUAACCCUUCGAAAGGGGGGCUAAUACCGGGUACGCUCCUUUGGCCACAAGGCUGGGGGAGGAGAGGGGGGGCGCAAGUCCUCUCGCCCACAGAGGGUCCCGCGGCCCAUUAGCUAGUUGGGGGGGUAACGGCCUCCCAAGGCGAUGAUGGGUAGCCGGUCUGAGAGGAUGGCCGGCCACACGGGGACUGAGAGACGGCCCCGACUCCUACGGGAGGCAGCAGUGGGGAAUCUUCCGCAAUGGGCGCAAGCCUGACGGAGCAACGCCGCGUGGGGGACGAAGGCCUUCGGG
Molecule: ribosomal RNA, 362 nt
Filed under: uncultured bacterium
Lineage: Bacteria
Description: partial 16S ribosomal RNA
Rfam family: Bacterial small subunit ribosomal RNA
Source: RNAcentral